UGUCAGGUCUCUCACACCCUCUCGCCUGUGACCCGUGAUCAACUCUGAGGUUGCACUACGCUGCCUUGGGUAUCUCCAGUAAGAACAGCUUUGAGAGGUUAAGGUCUGUGGUGAAGGCCGAAGCCAACGGGCGGACCCAGCCUCUGUGACUCAAAGUCAGAAGUGGAUCAGGAGGCCUUCUGCUUCCUCAGGAAGGAUGGGGAGGGGCUGAGGAAGGCAGGUCUCUCCUCAUCUCUUCUCUGAAGCGAUCACAGCAACUCUGUCGACUCAGGCUAUAAUUUUCCACACAGACAAGGCUGCCUGGCUGACUGGUAGAGGGGGUUGGUAGGAACCACAGAAGAAGGAUAGGUGCAAAUAAACCCUUCAAAACCC
Non-coding RNA from Rattus norvegicus (Norway rat), 372 nucleotides. The record is from RefSeq and is a predicted model, not a curated record. NCBI's taxonomy places the organism in Eukaryota, Metazoa, Chordata, Mammalia, Rodentia, Muridae.